UGUAGGGGUGAGUAUUUUAAAUAUAGAAACACUAUAGACUUCAGAAUUGGAAGAUAAUAAAGAAAGGAAAUUUUCUGUUAUUGAAUUCGAUUUAAUUCAAUUAGGUAGUUGAUAGGGUAAAGGCCUACCAAGCCAACGAUCGAUAGCCAAGUUUGAAAGAACAAAUGGCCACAUUGGGAAUGAGAUAUCCCAAGUAGAGAACUCUACCAGCAGUCGAGAAUAUUAGUCAAUGCUCGCAAGAGUGAACUAGCUAACUGGAAUCAUGAGUGUGUCACUUGUGAUAAGUUUGGGAAAAAUAAUGAUAUUACCCAUUAUCUUAUAGUGUUGUCCAAAGCUGGUGCCAGAAGACUCGGUAAUGCCAGAGACGCAAGCGUUAAUCAUCUUGAAAAGGCGUAAAGGGUUUGUAGGCAGCUUUAAAAAAAUAAUUAAAGAUAGAAUCAAAUAGAGGUCACUGUGAGAGAACUCCUAGAUUAGGGUUGAUAUCUGUAUAAACUAGGAGGAAUUCUAAUUAGCGAAGGCACUUUUCCAUCUAAUGAUUGACGCUGAUAAACGAAGGGGAGGAUCGACAAUAGGAUUAGAUACCCUGGCAUCCCUCUCUGUAAACGAUGAAUGGUAGUUGCUAGUAAUAAUAAUUAGUGACGAUGCUAACGCGUUAACCAUUCCGCCUUGUGAUUCCGACUGCA
RNAcentral lists this ribosomal RNA (683 nucleotides) under Austrogautieria sp. OSC80139. RNAcentral's name for it is "SSU rRNA". It matches the Rfam family "Bacterial small subunit ribosomal RNA", at positions 132 to 890 of the family's 1533-position model. The record is from RNAcentral. Lineage: Eukaryota; Fungi; Basidiomycota; Agaricomycetes; Hysterangiales; Gallaceaceae.